RNAcentral lists this transfer RNA (72 nucleotides) under Chitinophagales bacterium. RNAcentral describes it as "tRNA-Phe". It matches the Rfam family "tRNA". From Rfam's summary of the family: Transfer RNA (tRNA) molecules are approximately 80 nucleotides in length. Lineage: Bacteria; Pseudomonadati; Bacteroidota; Chitinophagia; Chitinophagales. The record is from RNAcentral.
GGAAUAGUAGUGUACGGGUGUGCAUGCUAGUUUGAAAAGCUAGAGGUAAAAGUUCAACUCUUUUCUAUUCCA